This 1087-nucleotide small RNA is filed under the name Petasospora adriatica. RNAcentral describes it as "eukaryotic LSU rRNA". The stretch from base 492 to 1087 matches the Rfam family "Eukaryotic large subunit ribosomal RNA", at positions 1 to 600 of the family's 3401-position model. The record is from RNAcentral. Lineage: Eukaryota; Fungi; Ascomycota; Saccharomycetes; Phaffomycetales; Wickerhamomycetaceae.
CAAACCUUACACACAGUGCUUAGUUUUAUUUCUAACAUUGCUUUGGCUGGGCGCUUGCCGUCUGGCCAGAGGUUAACCAAAACACAAGAUUUUCAAUCUUUUUUUUAAAAAUUAGUCAAGAAGUUUAUUAAAACAAAUCUUCAAAACUUUCAACAACGGAUCUCUUGGUUCUCGCAACGAUGAAGAACGCAGCGAAAUGCGAUACGUAAUGUGAAUUGCAGGUUUUCGUGAAUCAUCGAAUCUUUGAACGCAUAUUGCGCCCUCUGGUAUUCCGGAGGGCAUGCCUGUUUGAGCGUCAUUUCUCUCUCAAACCCCUAGGGUUUGGUAUUGAGUGAUACUCUGUUAAACUGGGUUAACUUGAAAUAGUGUGGCAAGAGCUGCUUUGCGCAGGUCUUCUCUGAACUAACGUUUCUAGGUUCUACCAAUUCGUUAUGGGCAGUGGAGGGCGCGUCUGGCGUUUGGGCUCGGCCUAACAACACCUUCUUAAAGUUUGACCUCAAAUCAGGUAGGAUUACCCGCUGAACUUAAGCAUAUCAAUAAGCGGAGGAAAAGAAACCAACAGGGAUUGCCUCAGUAACGGCGAGUGAAGCGGCAAAAGCUCAAAUUUGAAAUCUGGUACCUUCGGUGCCCGAGUUGUAAUUUGAAGGUAGUUUUCUGGUGCUGGUCCUUGUCUAUGUUCCUUGGAACAGGACGUCAUAGAGGGUGAGAAUCCCGUCUGAUGGGGAAUCCAGUGCUAUGUAGAUUUCUACCGACGAGUCGAGUUGUUUGGGGAAUGCAGCUCUAAGUGGGUGGUAAAUUCCAUCUAAAGCUAAAUAUUGGGCGAGAGACCGAUAGCGAACAAGUACAGUGAUGGAAAGAUGAAAAGAACUUUGAAAAGAGAGUGAAAAAGUACGUGAAAUUGUUGAAAGGGAAGGAUAUUGGAUCAGACUUGGUGUUUUGUGAUUAUCUUCCCCUUGUGGGUUGUGCACUCGCAUUUCACUGGGCCAGCAUCGGUUCGGAUGGCAAGAUAAUGGCGCAGGAACGUGGCACUCUUCGGGGUGUGUUAUAGCCUGUGUUGAUGUUGCCUAUCUGGACCGAGGACUGCGGC